AGUUGAUCCUGGCUCAGAACGAACGCUGGCGGCGUGCUUAACACAUGCAAGUCGAACGAGGUCUUCGGACCGAGUGGCGGACGGGUGAGUAAUACAUAGGCAACCUGCCCAUCAAUGGGGGAUACCCAGCCGAAAGGUUGGCUAAUACCGCAUACGCUCAUCAUCUGGGAUGGUGAUGAGGAAAGAUUUAUCGUUGAUGGAUGGGCCUGUGGUCGAUUAGCUAGUUGGUGAGGUAAUGGCUCACCAAGGCGACGAUCGAUAGCUGGUCUGAGAGGAUGAUCAGCCACACUGGGACUGAGACACGGCCCAGACUCCUACGGGAGGCAGCAGUGGGGAAUUUUCCGCAAUGGGCGAAAGCCUGACGGAAGCGACGCCGCGUGGAGGAUGACGGUCUUCGGAUUGUAAACUCCUGUCAAGGGGGACGAUGAUGACGGUACCCCUGGAGGAAGCAUCGGCUAACUACGUGCCAGCAGCCGC
RNAcentral lists this ribosomal RNA (477 nucleotides) under uncultured bacterium. RNAcentral's name for it is "bacterial SSU rRNA". It matches the Rfam family "Bacterial small subunit ribosomal RNA", at positions 10 to 518 of the family's 1533-position model. The record is from RNAcentral.